UGGGGAAUUUUGGACAAUGGGGGAAACCCUGAUCCAGCCAUCCCGCGUGUGCGAUGAAGGCCUUCGGGUUGUAAAGCACUUUUGGCAGGAAAGAAACGUCGCGGGUUAAUACCCCGCGAAACUGACGGUACCUGCAGAAUAAGCACCGGCUAACUACGUGCCAGCAGCCGCGGUAAUACGUAGGGUGCAAGCGUUAAUCGGAAUUACUGGGCGUAAAGCGUGCGCAGGCGGUUCGGAAAGAAAGAUGUGAAAUCCCAGAGCUUAACUUUGGAACUGCAUUUUUAACUACCGGGCUAGAGUGUGUCAGAGGGAGGUGGAAUUCCGCGUGUAGCAGUGAAAUGCGUAGAUAUGCGGAGGAACACCGAUGGCGAAGGCAGCCUCCUGGGAUAACACUGACGCUCAUGCACGAAAGCGUGGGGAGCAAACAGGAUUAGAUACCCUGGUAGUCCACGCCCUAAACGAUGUCAACUAGCUGUUGGGGCCUUCGGGCCUUGGUAGCGCAGCUAACGCGUGAAGUUGACCGCCUGGGGAGUACGGUCGCAAGAUUAAAACUCAAA
RNAcentral lists this ribosomal RNA (557 nucleotides) under uncultured bacterium. RNAcentral describes it as "partial 16S ribosomal RNA". It matches the Rfam family "Bacterial small subunit ribosomal RNA", at positions 355 to 905 of the family's 1533-position model. The record is from RNAcentral.